This is a long non-coding RNA of Oncorhynchus tshawytscha (Chinook salmon), 605 nucleotides long. The record is from Ensembl. NCBI's taxonomy places the organism in Eukaryota, Metazoa, Chordata, Actinopteri, Salmoniformes, Salmonidae.
GGGUACCGGUACAGAGUCAAUGUGGAGGCUAUAUACAAGGGGUACCGGUACAGAGUCAAUGUGGAGGCUAUAUACAGGGUGUUACGGUACAGAGUCAAUGUGGAGACUAUAUACAGGGGGUACCGGUACAGAGUCAAUGUGGAGACUAUAUACAGGGGGUACCGGUACAGAGUCAAUGUGGAGGCUAUAUACAGGGGGUACCGGUACAGAGUCAAUGUGGAGACUAUAUACAGGGGGUACCAGAACAGAGUCAAUGUGGAGGCUAUAUACAGGGGGUACCGGUACAGAGUCAAUGUGGAGGCUAUAUACAGGGUGUACCAGUACAGAGUCAAUGUGGAGGCUAUAUACAGGGUGUUACGGUACAGAGGCAAUGUGGAGGCUAUAUACAGGGGGUACCGGUACAGAGUCAAUGUGGAGACUAUAUACAGGGGUACCAGAACAGAGUCAAUGUGGAGGCUAUAUACAGGGUGUUACGGUACAGAGUCAAUGUGGAGGCUAUAUACAGGGGGUACCGGUACAGAGUCAAUGUGGAGGCUAUAUACAGGGGGUACUGGUACAGAGUAAAUGAGGAGGCUAUAUACAGGGGGGGUACUGGUACAGAGUCA